UACGAAGGGAGCGAGCGUUGUUCGGAAUCACUGGGCUUAAAGCGUGCGUAGGUGGAUAUGUAAGUCAGAAGUGAAAUCCCCGGGCUUAACCCGGGAACUGCUUUUGAGACUGCAUGUCUGGAAUUCGGUAGAGGUUAGUGGAAUAUCCAGUGUAGAGGUGAAAUGCGCAGAUAUCGGGAAGAACACCCGUGGCGAAGGCGGCUCUCUGGGACGGUACUGACGCUGAGACGCGAAAGCGUGGGGAGCGAACAGG
RNAcentral lists this ribosomal RNA (253 nucleotides) under uncultured bacterium. RNAcentral describes it as "partial 16S ribosomal RNA". It matches the Rfam family "Bacterial small subunit ribosomal RNA", at positions 524 to 776 of the family's 1533-position model. The record is from RNAcentral.